AGGGUUUGAUUAUGGCUCAGGAUGAACGCUGGCGGCGUGCUUAACACAUGCAAGUCGAACGAUUGAAGCUGGAGCUUGCUCCGGCCGAUUUAGUGGCGGACGGGUGAGUAACGCGUGGGUAACCUGCCUCAUACAGGGGGAUAGCAGUUGGAAACGACUGGUAAAACCGCAUAAGCGCACGGUGUCGCAUGACACAGUGUGAAAACACUCCGGUGGUAUGAGAUGGACCCGCGUCUGAUUAGCUAGUUGGUGAGGUAACGGCCCACCAAGGCGACGAUCAGUAGCCGGCCUGAGAGGGUGAACGGCCACAUUGGGACUGAGACACGGCCCAA
This 332-nucleotide ribosomal RNA is filed under the name uncultured bacterium. RNAcentral describes it as "bacterial SSU rRNA". It matches the Rfam family "Bacterial small subunit ribosomal RNA", at positions 8 to 334 of the family's 1533-position model. The record is from RNAcentral.